This 74-nucleotide small RNA is filed under the name Bythopirellula polymerisocia. RNAcentral describes it as "Planctomycetes bacterium Pla144 symR". The record is from RNAcentral. Lineage: Bacteria; Pseudomonadati; Planctomycetota; Planctomycetia; Pirellulales; Lacipirellulaceae.
AGGCAUUUCUAGCUCCUGUUUAGCUAGUGAUUGCUUAGAGGCCCCGUUGUGUUUCAGCACAGCGGGGUCUCGUU